Molecule: long non-coding RNA, 745 nt
Filed under: Brassica rapa (field mustard)
Lineage: Eukaryota; Viridiplantae; Streptophyta; Magnoliopsida; Brassicales; Brassicaceae
Description: long non-coding RNA (BRAP_LNC003188)
Source: RNAcentral
UUUAGAAGAACCAAACUAUUUUCACUGUUUCAUACCAUAGGUGUACAUAGCCAUCAAAUAAAAACAAAGAACUUUGCGAAACGUGAAACCCUACUAAUUAAUUGAAAAUAUAGAAGCAGAACUACACGAGGCAAGUCGUGGAGCUUGCAAAUACAAACAAGACAAGGAAUUAUUUUCCGAAAUUAAAAUUUAAUUUUUUGAGAAUUUGUCUUCUACUACGGCUCUUAUCAGACACCGCAACAUUUAAGUAAGCCGCGACGCGUGUGACUUUUUGCCGGGCCAAAAUAGGCAGGAACCACCAUAAAUCAAGUGACACGCCAACUCUUUUUCAACUUUCAUGUCCGAAAGCAAAGAUAUCUCAUUCUCUGAUCACAACCAGUUGGCUAGUUUUCAGUGGCCGAACUUGAUGGUUUUGAUUGCCACUUUUCUAAAUUUCAAGUCUAAUUUACAUGUUUAUCUCCUAUAUAUAAAGAUAAAUGUCAACUGAAAUUACCUUAAGAUUUGUAUUGUGGUUAAUUUUUUUUUUCCGAAGAUAAGAUGAAUUCUGUAUUGGGUGAAAGCUAUAGGUUGGAAAAUGUCAAGCAUAGAUGGCCCAAAAUAAUUGGUGUUUGUAUUAAUUAGUCAAAAGAAAUAUCCGACAAGCAAGGUGAACGAAAACCUUAAACUAAUCACGCGCGAAAGCAAGAAUUAAAGUCGCUAUUCACAUUACUGCUAAUAUUUGUUAAAUUGUUAUCGUUGUCGUCAC